Molecule: long non-coding RNA, 938 nt
Filed under: Buteo japonicus
Lineage: Eukaryota; Metazoa; Chordata; Aves; Accipitriformes; Accipitridae
Description: lncRNA (ENSBJAG00000009556.1)
Source: RNAcentral
ACGGGACUUAAAUUACAGCCCUGAAGACAUGGGGCGGUACUAGCAGAGCCUCCCAAGCUGCCGGGGUGGCCAGGCCUGGCCGGUGCUGCCUGCAUGCGGAGGUGGAGUCUCCGCUGCUGGAGGUCCCGAGGAACAGGUUAGACAUGCAUCUGCCCGAGAGGCUGGGGUGGCGAGGCAGUGCCGCCGGAGCCCUUCCAGCCCCCUCCUGCAGCCGGCUGGGAAGUAACCUUUGCUCCUCUUUCAGCUCCUGAAGAUAAAGCCAAAUGGGGAGGCACCCUACGUGGAGAUGGCGUUCACCGAGCACAGGCAGUGCGAGUGCAGGCCCCGGCAGGACCUGAUGAGGUUGGGAAGGUAAGUGAUGUCAGGGGUGGCGUUACCGGCUGGGAUUGUGGGUCUCAUCUCCCACACAUCAGCCUCUCUUGUGGUGCUUUUCUUUCAAAGGAGGAGGUCCAAGGGCCGAGGUAAGAGAAGACAAGACAAGAAGAGACGUAAAGACUGUGAACUGUAAGUGAGCAGGGACAGGUAUGGGUGGUGUCUUCUGGGUUUAUUUCUUUGGGAUGAGCAGCUUCAUUAAGCCUUUAGGUCUUUACUGACACUGUGAGCAGUGAGAGGUUUGUGCAGAGCAGAACAGGAAAAAGCAGGGCAGAGGGGAUAGUGCAGUCCCAGGGUUUUCUGGAUCCACGAAUUUCCACUUUCAGCCUCAUCUUGCUGCCUGCUCUGUCCUUCCUGACGUCCUUGGCUGGUUGUUGUUUGGGUUACUCUACCCUUUCCCUCUUUAUAUUUAGCUGACUCUCAAACCGCUUGCUGUAACAGGGCAGGCUGGACUCCUACUGUGGACACUUUUGGGGUAUGGUGCCUGUGGCUGGCACUUCCCUGUUGCAUUUCCCCGUUUUGGCUGAAGCCUGCUCUUCGGUGUUCAGCCAGCACCUACAGCCCCA